GGACCUACCAACCAAAAAAUGGCGGCGGAAGUUCAGCUGAGCAGCAACAUGAGGAAAGCUCUCCUGGUUCUGAAUUGUGUGAUUCUCUCAAUUGGAAACUGCGGUGGUCCCUUGGUGAUGCGCCUGUAUUUCGUUCUUGGCGGCGAGAGAAUAUGGUUUUCCAGUUGGUUGGAAACGGUUGGGUGGCCCUUGAUCCUAGUCCCUCUCAUCAUCACUUACAUGCACCGCCGAACCAAGCAAGACUCCCAUGCCAAACUCUUCUUCAUGAAACCUCCUCUGUUCGUGGCCUCCGCUGUUAUCGGUGUCCUCACCGGAUUCGAUGACUACCUCUAUGCCUAUGGCGUAGCAAAACUGCCCGUUUCAACAUCAGCUCUCAUUGUCGCAAGCCAGCUCGCUUUCACAGCAGCCUUCGCGUUCCUCUUGGUGAAACAAAAGUUCACCUCAUACUCCGUAAAUGCCAUAUUUCUGUUGAGUAUCGGUGCCGGUGUCUUGGCUUUACACACUAGCUCCGACCGCCCUACUAAUGAGUCCAACAAAGAAUAUUACCUCGGGUUUGUCAUGACACUUGCAGCUGCAGCGCUCUAUGGUUUCAUUCUCCCCUUGGUUGAAUUAACCUACAAGAAAACAAAGCAGGCAAUAACCUACUCACUGGUCAUGGAGAUUCAAAUGGUGAUGUGCUUCUUCGCCACCGUCUUUUGCACAGUGGGGAUGUUGGUUAAUAAUGACUUUCAGGUGCAUUUCUCUUUUCUCUCCACUCAAUUACCCUAACAUAUUCAACCAGAUAGAAGAUUGAUAAUUUAUGUUUGCUUCUUCCUCAUUUAAUUUUGUAGGCAAUUUCCAGAGAAGCAAAAGAAUACGAGCUUGGAGAAGCUAAAUAUUAUCUGGUGGUGGUAUGGAAUGGGAUCAUAUGGCAGUGUUUCUUCUUAGUAUCAAUAGGAGUCAUCUUUAGCGCUUCAUCUUUGGUAUGCGGUAUUGUGAUUACUGUCCUACUCCCCGUGACAGAGAUCUUGGCUGUUAUUUUCUUCCGAGAAAAAUUUCAAGCAGAGAAGGGGGUUUCACUGGCUCUCUCUCUGUGGGGCUUUGUUUCCUACUUCUACGGCGAGAUAAAGGAUAGCAAGAAAAAGAAGAAUCCCACUUCCGAGACGGAGCUGCCUCAAACGGUCAAUCCAUGACAAACAAAUAUCUUUCUUAUUCCCCGGAAGGCAAGGGACAGGAUUACAUAUAAGCAUUUACCAGGUAAUUUAAAGAAAUACUUCGUCCGUAUGUUAACAGGCAGUUUAGCUGAUUCACCAAAUCUGUGUAAAGGAAAUGCUUGAAUUUCGUUCCUAAAUACAUGCUUGAAUAUUGAAUUUACUUGAAUUCUACAACCGCUGUGAGCGGAACAUGUUGAAAAUGAGAUCAUUUAAUUGUUCUAUAUAAGAUAAUUUCAAGAAUGAGCAAGUCUUGUUUUUUUAGUUUUCAAUUUUAGUGGUUUAUGAAAUCACAGAAAAAAGAUCAUGGGUGUUUUCAAAUUUAGAGUUUUUAUCUACCAUCAACUCAACAACCUCUGAUCCCAAUAACCACUUGCACUCAUUUGGAGGUAGGUGUCAACUACUCUCGUCAACUGCCACAGUAUCAAAUGAACCACAACAACUAUAUUUUCCAUAUUUUGUAGUGGAUGAUAUUGAUAUGAAGCGAAUAAGACGCGAGCUGCGCUCACAGGCUAGGACUUUAAUUGGUGAAGCCUCCCAACUCAUAUAGUCAACUCGCUCGAAAUUCAGUUGUUAAAGUUUUCUAAUAAAUAAAACAGUUAUUUUAAAAUAUAAAAAUUUAAAUUAUAUCAUAAAAUACUAAGGUAAAGAAAUUAGAAAAUACUAAAAUAUCAAUUCCAUAUAUAUCAAGCUUUCGAUUUUGAUCAUUAAAAGUAUAUAAUAAAAUUUAAGCCUGUGAAUAAUGAUUACUACUCAAAAAGUGUUAUUUGAUAGCCUGUAAUUAAUCCUUUUAAACACUUUUGAGUAGUAGUUUAGGCCUUUUAACUCAAUUGGCAUGUUAAGGAUCCUUUAAAGCAAUUUUGAUCACUUUGUGUAAGUUUUGGUGUUUUUGUUAGUAUUUUGAUCACCAAAACAAGUCAAGACUGAGGAGAGCUAUGAGGAAUCUUGGGUAAAGCUUAGAAGUCAUUUUCCAAGAGUGAAUCCGGAUUGCAAGGAGAAAAAGCAAAGAGAAUCUGCCAUAAAGCAUAUUCUUGAUGACAGUCGUAGCAGCCACUUUUAGAGCACUUUAUGAAGUCCAAAUGAUGCAUGCUAUAUACCAUUUUAAAGCUCAGGAAGUCAACAAUCCAAUGCUUCAAACGGUGUGCAAUUCGGAGUUGAAACGAAGAAGUUGCAGCCAUUACAAGCCAAUCACUCCGAGCUGAAGAAAACAUUUUGCAAAGUGCUGCGAAAUCACCCUUUUGUUGCGAAGUGAUUUCGCAGCAUUUUUGUACAGUAAGGUGUUUCUCCUUCUGACGAUGCACGAACCAUGCCGCGAGAAGGGAGCUGGGAACCUCAAGGUGGAAGCCAACUUCGCAGCCAUGUGAAGAUAGCUCGGUGUUGCGAAAUAAUUUCGCAGCCCUCUUGGGUGUCUGCGAAAUUUCGCAGACACCAUAUUUCUCCUGCGAAAUGGUUCCUGAAGCCUCCCGAAGCUUGCUACCGACAUUGGGAGAUAUUUUCCAUUAGAUUUUUGUUGUCUAAAUCCCAAAAUACUCCUUGUAAACCACCAAUUACAUGAUUCCUUAGUUUUUAAGUUAGUAAAAAGACUAAAUAUCUUUGUAACAAUUAGUUUUAUAUUAUGUUGAUAUAUAUACCUCUCGAGAGCCUGUUCUCAGGGAGGAGUUCCUUUUGUAAACCGUUUGGGUAAGCAAGUAAAGGUCUUUUUCUUUCUACUGCCUUACCUUCUCACUUUGUAUUUUCAGUUUAUUUCUAAGUUAUGAAUUCUCUGAGGAGUUUUCCCCAGAGAAUGAGUAACUAAACCUCUAAUUCCUUGGAGCUAAGGUUGCCGGGGAAGGUUCCAAGUGCAAGAAUGCAAAGCUUUGUGGUUUUAGCUAGUAAUGAAGAGGAAGUGAAAUCCUUUAGUGAUUUCUAUGUUUUUAGUUAACUUAAAACACCUUGGAGUUACCUGGGCCAACACUUGGUAAGGCAAGUGAUUUUCAACCAUGGAAAUGCACUAGUUUACCCCUUGCGAGCCUCUGGGAGGUGACUUCAGGGUAGGAUUUUCUAGAAUAGCCAACACUUGGUAAGCUUUUGGACUCCUAGGAGGCAUCCAUUAGUUAUCUCUUGCGAGCUUUUGACGGGUAAUCCAAGGUUAAAGAUCACCUUGAAUGGUUAAGGCUUAGUGAGAGGCUUAAACCAUUGCAAGUUGCAUCAGUGAGAGAAUUAAAGUGAAAUCUAAUUGAAGGAGUCUCUGUACAUCACCGGUUAGAGAAUUGACUAUGUGUUGAAUCUCUAAUGCGAGGAAAUGAACCAUCUGACCAAAGCCGUGUCUUUUGCAUGAGGAACCACCCCAGUGAACCUAAAUCUCUAAGGAAUGCUUUUCUUCCUAAAUUAUUCCAAACUUCUGUUAAGUUAGUUAGUUUAAGUCUCAACUUUUACCAAUCAAAGUUUGUGUUUUACUUCUUAAGCUAACCAUAAAAUGAAACAAGACCAAUUCACUUGGAAUUGGUAUCAUUGAUUGCUUGUUAGUCAUUCCCAGUGAACGACCCUAGAGCCACUAUACUAUAGUAGCUUUUUCUUUGCUACCCUAGUGUAUGGUGUUAUAGGUAAUAAAUUUUGUUGAUCACUUCCUCAAUCAAGGAGCACCAGCUGAACACCAAUCAGCUGAGACACCAAUUGAGCAUGAAUCAAAUAAGAUUACGAAUAUAUGGAUUCAAUAUAUAAACGAGUGGGAUGGAACAUGACUCAAAUGAAUAAGGCAUAAAAAAGACAAAUAAUAAUGAUGCCAGACUAUAUAUGUGAUAAUGAUGAUAGAUUGUAGAUGGAGAUGGAUUUCAUAUAAAAAUAAGGAUUUUAUAUUUAAAAUUCAUUUUUAAAGAAUAAAAUACAUUAAAAAACAGUUAAACAUAAAUCGAAGACUUUUUUACUUUAAAUUUCUCUCAAAAGGAAAUUUUAUAAAUAAAAUAAAUUUAUACGAGUAUUAAUCGACAAAAUUUCAAAUCAACAAUAAUUCUUGCAUUUGUAUCAAACUUUAAAAGAUGUAAGUGAAAUUAAUCCUAUUUUUGGAUUGUUAUUUAUAUCAAAUCUUCCCCAUCUUAAUUCCAACCCAAACCAAACUUGACAUGGAUUGGGUGGAACAACUUUAACAAAACUUCAAGUUGUCAUCUCUAAUGUUAGUUUGGAAUAGAAAAUAAAAAUGAAACAAUUUCAUUCUCCUCUAUUAAUGUAUCCAGACUAUUUAUUACGAUGAAAAUUAGAAUAAAAAGUUCAUUAGUAUAUAAACCAAAUCUGCCUAUGAAUAAAAAAACAGUAGAUAAAUACUCUAAGGUUACUUUGGAAUAGAGAAUAAGAAUGGAAGAAUUUCAUUCUUCUUUAUUAAUGGAUCCAGAUUGUUGUUUACAAUGAGAAUAAGAGAAUUAGAAUAAAAAUUUCGUUAGUAGGUAAACCAAAUCUGCCAAUGAAAAAAAAAGACCACAGAUAAAUCAAAUCUCACUUUUACAAUAAUUUUGAUUCAUUCUUUUGUACAUGAUAGUGUGAUUCACUUUCAUUCUCUUUCUAUUCCACUUUUCUACUUUUCCACCUACCACUCAUCCUAGUCGUAAUGUGAUUAUUGUGUCUCGUAUCUUUGGUAAAGAGAACCAACCGACUAUAUCUCAACAAAGCGUCCAUCAUUUAUGCCAUGCAGCGUACAUCAUGCGAAAGAGCCAAUGAGCGUUUCACAUAUGGUAUAGCAAAACUGCCCAUUUCAACAUCUGCUCUCAUUAUCGCAAGCCAGCUCGCUUUCACAGCAGCCUUUGCAUUCCUCUUGGUGAAACAAAAGUUUACUUCAUACUUCGUAAAUGCCAUAUUUCUUUUGAGUAUCGGUGCUGGUGUCUUGGCUCUACACAAUAGCUCUGACUACCCCGCCAACGAAUCUAACAAAGAAUAUUAUCUCGGGUUUUUCAUGAUACUAGCAGCUGCAACGCUCUAUGGUUUCAUUUUCCCGUUGGUUGAAUUAACCUACAAGAAAGCAAAGCAGGCAAUAACCUACUCACUGGUCAUGGAGAUUCAAAUGGUGAUGUGCUUCUUCGCCACCGUCUUUUGCACAGUGGGGAUUGUUGAUGCCUCGCGUCCCAGGGAUCCACACAGCUGCCAAGUGGACGCGCGCUUUCAACCAAGAAUGAAUUCUGGCUCAGUCGAUCCUGCAAAAGAUGUCCGGACACAUCCUCCGAUGGUUUUGUUAGUCAUGGCUCAAUGGAUCAGGCUGUUGCCCUUUUUUCUGAGUUAGCUGACUUACCUUCUUCUUUGCAUGAAGGUUCUUUUAUAUAGUGUCAGAAGCUCCGCUCCCCUCUUUAAUGGCGGGAAGACUUUUUGGCUUGUCAUGAUGUCCCUGAGGUGAUGGCAGAAUCAUCAUCACCUUCCAAACGGCUGUUAGAAAUCGUGGGAGGUGACUUGUCAUCACUCCUGUCCUUUCGCUCUACAGGCGGCGAAACGUGGGCUAUGACAGGUUGUCUGGGGUGACUCAGCAUGGCUUACUUUUUAUGGUCAAUGAUCCGGACAAUGUAUUCGGAUAGAAUAGAGCACAGUCCGGGUAUAAUAUUUGAGAGUGUCGUGUGUCUCCUUGAGGGACCUGGAUAGAGCUGGCGUGCCAUGUGGACUCUGAGGGGGUCCCUACAAUGCCCCCCUUUUAACCUGGCGAUUUUGUCCUGGCAGAAUGGGUAGGUUAAAAAAAAUGAUGACUUUGAAAGUUUGGUUGUUUUUUGCGUUUAUUGUGCCAUGUGGCGGUGCGGAGGCGAAAAGAAGGAAGAGCAUUUAUGGCGAGCCGCCAUCCUUGGGAAUUCCUAUGCGGCAUGUCGUUUCAAUAGCAGCGUGGCUGGGAGUUUGGAAUACCGAGGGGUUGUCUCCCUUUAAAUAGUAGACCCAGCCCCCACAACUGCAUUUCUUCCUUCUGCAUUUCUGUUGCUAGUGUUUUCGUUUAGGUUCUUUGUGUAUUCUUGCCUGUGAGUGAAGUUCUAGGGCUUUUGCUAGCGACAUUCGCGUCGUGAGGGUGACUGCAUCGCGGCCUUCGUCCUCAUUUGCCAGUUUGCACCAGGUACGUUCUCUAUUUCUACCUUCUCUCCAUUGGGUUUCUUUUUUAUUUUAUCUUGCUUGUUAGGUAGGUUGCUUGCGAUUGAGGGUCGGUGCUGGUGUUUAGGGAUUUUUCCGGGGGGGGGGGGGGGGGGNNNNNNNNNNNNNNNNNNNNNNNNNNNNNNNNNNNNNNNNNNNNNNNNNNNNNNNNNNNNNNNNNNNNNNNNNNNNNNNNNNNNNNNNNNNNNNNNNNNNUUUGGGGUUUUUCCAAGCCACUUUCGGUUGGGGGGGGGGAGUGCUUGGGGCCUUUCUCCUUUUUUUCCCGUUUUCCCCCGGGACCUUUUUUUUUUUCUCCUUUUUCCCCAGGGGUUUUUUUUUUUUUUUUUUUUUCUUUUUUGGGUGGUUGUUUGGGGUUGGGGGGGGGGGGUGGGUUUUUGGGAUUUUUCCGGGGGGGGGGGGGGGGGGGGGUUUGCUUUCGUUUUGGGCCUGUUGGGGUUCCUGUUGCCCCCUAUAGCCUUUGCGGGUGACUGGUCCUACUUUGGGGUAGAGUCAAGGGUUAGGUUGGGGAUGUUGGCUAUUUUAGGCUUUCUGGGCGUUUUUUGCUAUUAGGGUUAUGGGGCCGGGUCCUUCUAUUUUACUGUUGGCAUUUCGCCAUGCAGGUUCCGUUUCGGCCCCAUACUUUAAAAUGCCUGCGAAAAAGGACGUAGCUUCGUCCAGUGCGGUUGGGCCCAGCGGAAAGAAUGCGUCCGGGGUGGUCUAUGCGGAGAAGCCUGUUGACAAGCUGAACGUGAGGCAGUUUUGUGAACGCUUCUGCAUUCCGAACGGCGUAUCCGUUCAGCUUGUGGACGGAGAGGUCGUAUCCACCGAGAAAUCUGUGGACAACGCUAUCUAUUUCUCUAAGGAGCAAUUCAACGCGGGGCUUCGGUUCUUUCUCCCGUCUCUCUUCAAAGAGUUUCUUCACUUCACCAAGAUCCCUCCGGCCUACAUCCAUCCCAACAUAGUCCGGGUGUUGAUGGGGUGCAGCAUUUUGAACAUGUUGUUCAACUUGGAUCUUUUGCUGCUGGGGGUCCAUUUCAUCUACUCCAUCAAGAAGGGGAAAACUGACCUCUUCAACUUGUUUACCCAUAUCCCGUCCCUCCAAUUGGUGACUAAUCUCCCAGAUUCGAUGAAGGGGAGAGCCAAAGGACAUGUACUAGUCAAGGGUGUUUAGGCUGGACUGUCGGAACAUCCGGAGAGAUUGUUUUCCCUAAAUCGUUCACUGGCGCUCCCGGGGUAGGGUAGAUUUUCGAGUUUGUCCGGCGUGCAUUUCUUGUUCUUUUACUUUCGUGUUAUCAGAUGGCUAACUUUUUUGGUUGUGGGCAACGUAGGUAAGUCCAAGAGGGACCGCCUAGUCGAGUGGGUGGAGAAAGCCUCUUUUGAUCGCUUGAACAAGCUGUUCGAGAUUACUGCUACUAAGAGGCAUUAUCAGACGUUGCUCACUACUCGGAACCUGUUGGCAGUUGUCCGGGAGCCUCACCCGUACGUCACCAACAUUCUCCCUAGGCGAUUGCCAAAACGUGUAGUGUCUUGGGAGCAUUUUGUGUUGAAAGAUUUGCCCUUCUACGAGAGGGCUCGCAAGGCUAACACAAAGGCGCGCCAGGAGCGCCUUAACCAGCAAGAGGAGAAGAGGCAGAAGGGGACAUUGAGGAAAGCACCUGGUGAGAAGGGGCGCGACUCUUCCCCAGCCGCCUUCCCCCGGCCACAAAAGAAAAGAAGAAGACGAAGAAGACUCGUGCGCAGGUGCUCUAGAUAGUGGCCCCAACUCUUGAGGCUUCGUCUUCGUCUUGCAGGUCCGAGCCCAAUCAGCCGGACCACACUAUUCCGGAGUCUAAGGAGGUUGAGGAACCUGAGGCCAUCACCAGUUCGCCACAGCUUGAAACCUUCCAUCCGGGGCCUAGCUUUCCCCAGCCGCAGUCGGAGUUUGUUGGCUUGAGGGUCGUGGAUGAGCCAGAGGAAAUGAGAGAUGCAAACGACCUUAGGGCGGGGCUUUUGCAAAGACAUCGACCUUGGCCCCCCCAGUUAAGAAAGUUUGUCCGGAGCAGGGUGGAGAGGACCCGACGCCAGAAUUUUGGCUUCAGCUGUGACUCGUCCAGACGAGGUGGGUAUUAGCGCAACUUCCACGGCUCAGCCGGAUGCCGCAGGGUCUAGCGCGGCGGCAACGGUUCAGGCCAACGCUUCGGGGCCUAGCUCAACGACUGCUGCUCAAUCGAGUACAACUGCCUUCGGCAAUGCCCCGACUGCUGUGGAGACCCAUGCGUCAGAGGGGGUUCCGGAUGCGUCGAACGACGAGAAGGCUUCGGACGAAAAGAGCAGUCCUGCUGUUGCAGUUCCUCCAAGCUAGGAGGAAAUGAUGGAGAUGCUGAAAGGAGUGCCAUGCUUCACGGAUGUAGAGACGCCUUCCACGAGGAUGUCAGACUUCUUCCCUUUGACCAAACGUGUCUCUGUGAACAUGGGUGGGGACCCUCCUGCUUUUGUCAAGGCGCGGCUCCCUUUUGGCGCUCCUGAGUCCAUCGUAUCUUGCAUUCAACACCUAUAGGAAUGGACGAUUCCAGAGACUGUAGAAGUGGUAAAUACUUCUUUGCUGUUUUUCUCUUCUUUCUUAGCAGUUGCUACUUUUCCAUGUAACAUUGUCUGUUGUUUUGUUGUUGCUUUGCCCAUGUUGUAGCCGGCAUCCACUACAUGAUGUGCACACGCGAGCAGCUUUUCAAGCGGCUGGAAUUGGUGGAGGCCAUGCAUGCCUUUAUCUCCCAACAUCCGGGUGGCAUCGAGGAGCUGCGCGCCAAGUUGGAGAAGGUGGAGGCCGAAUUGGCCGCUGCUCGGAAAGCUGUGGCGGAUGGGACGGAGCAACUAGGUCGGGUUGAAGGGGAUAAGGAGACUAUCCGGGCCGAGGCUGACAUCCUGAAGAAAGAAAAGCAAGCCUUGGAGGGCUAAGUCAAUGCAGCUGGGCAGGAGAACCUCCAGUUGAAGAGAGAGACGGAUGAACUCCUGGAUAGCCUUGCCGCCCAGAAGAAGGAGUCAGAGGAUUUGCGGGAGGGUCUGGCGGCUCAAAAGGAGAAAAUGGAGGCUAGGUUCGCCGCUCAGAAGAAGGAGAUGGAGGAGGAAUACCAGAAGCAGGCAGACGAGAUGUAUUUCUUUGGCUACCGUUGUUGUAUGAAGAAACACGGAAUUAUGCAUGAUAUUCCUUCUUUCCUUUCUGAUGAGGAAGAUACAACACCUGGGGGUCCGUCCAGCUGAAACUUCCUUCUGUACAGACUUUAUAAUUUUUCCUCUUUGUUUUGCUGCACAUGGGGCAGUUAUUUUUGUAAAGACACUUUUUACUUAUUUAUAAAUACAUUACAUUUCUUCUGUUUUUUGCUUACUCCUCAUUUCCUUUCAUUGAUAAUACUGCUUAAGAUUGGAUACAUUUCAUGGACGGAGCAGCGAGGUUCCAUCUAGCUUCUAUAGAUGAUAGACUCCACUUUCACUUGUCUUGGACACAAUGUAAGGGUCUUCCCAAUUUGCUUGGAAUUUUCCUGCUCCCUUUUCAGCAGUGUUCUUGAAAACCUUUAUGAGGACCAACGUUCCACCUUUGAAGCUCUUGGGUCGUGCCUUGCGUUUGUAGUGAGCUGCCGCCCUUUGUAGGUAGUCGGUCAUUCGAAUGGAUGCGUUCUCUCUCACUUCAUCCACCCAGUCCAAAUUUCUUCCUAGUUCCACAUUUGCAUCACCCUGUCGUCCUACCUCAAUCCGGAUAGUGGGUAGGCCUAUUUCUGUAGGGAUGACUACAUCCAUACCGUAUGCGAGGGCGAAGGGAGUGUUUCCUGUUGGUCACCCGGGUGUGCUUCGAUAGGCCCAUAGGACGCCGGGUAACUCCUCUACCCACUUCCAUUUGGCUUGCCCGAGCCUCUUCUUUAAGGUAGUUACCAGGGUUUUGUUUUUGCCUCUGCCUGUCCAUUGCUUUGAGGAUAAUGUGGUGUGGAGUAUAAAUUCCAGAUGUUAAGUUCCGAACAGAAAUUCCAGAAAGUGAUGCUAUCAAACUGCGGGUCGUUAUCAGCUAUAAUGGUUUGAGGGAUUCCAAAGCGACAGAUGAUGUUCUUCCAUACGAACUUGGUGAUGUCUUUGUCCUUGAUGCUAGCGUAUGCUUCAUCUUCUACCCAUUUACUGAAGUAAUCUGUGGUGACGAGUAGAAAUUUCUUCUAGGCAACUGCGGCUGGUAGGGGUCUUACUAUGUCCAUCCCCCAUUGCGCGAAGGGUCAGAGGCUAGAAAUUAGUUUUAAUGUCUCAGAUGGUGCAUGCGGUAUGAGGGCAUGCCUCUGGCAUUUGUCACACUUCUUGACAUAAGCUGCCGCAUCUUUCUCAUCGUGGGCCAAUAAUAUCCUUGCGAGUGGGCCUGAUGAGCUAGAGAUCGACCUCUAGAAUGAUUGUCGCACACACCCUCAUGUAACUCAUCCAAUACAUACAAGGCUUCCGAGUGAUCCAGGCACCUAAGGUAGGGGCCUGUGAAGGAUCGCUUGUAGAGGUGCCCCCCGAUUAGGGUGAAACGGGCGGCUUGUACUCAGAUCUUAUGUGCCUGCCUGGGUUCUUCGGGCAAAGUUCCUAUUCGGAGAUACCUUAUUAUGACUUUCGUCCAUUCUUAGCCGUCUGUUUGGCUCGCCUCAAUAGUAUUGCAAGUGGAGGCUUCUGUGAUGGAGGGGUCAGUUUGCACGUGUAUGGGCAAUAAUAUGGCCUCUUUGAUGGGGAGGGAAACGGCUAUCCCUGCCAGGGUGUCGGCACGUCCAUUAUCAGCUCAUGGAAUUUUUUUCGAUUGUUCAUUCGACAAACCGUUGCAGGGUGUCUCUUACUUUAGUCAGAUAUCGCGCCAUGCGUUCAUCUUUGGCUUCGUAUUCCUCCUGGACGUGUCUUACCACGAGUUGGGAAUCACUGUAGAUUCGAAGCUUGGAGACAGAUAAGGCCAAGGCAAGAUCUAAUCCGAAUAGGAUGGCUUAAUAUUCUAUUUCAUUGUUAGACGCGAGGAAUCCCAGUCGAAUAGCUUGCUCUAGCUGUUCUCCCGUUGGGGAUUGCAGUAGGAGCCCUACUCCGGAUCCUGAUGACCGAGAGGCUUCAUCAACCCGCAAGGUCCACCACUCUUCUUCGCAUGGUUCUUUGCGUUGAGCAGGUUUUUGAGAGUAUUUUAGCAUGAAGUCAGCCAUUACCUGCCCUUUCAUGGACAAUCUCGGUUGGUAUUCAAUUUCGUACUCGCUCAACUCUAUGGCCCAUUGAAGCAUUCUUCCGGUCAGGUCCGGCUUGUGCAGGAUGUUGCGAAGGGGCUGGUCGAUCAGCACGACCACUGGGUGGGCUUGGAAGUAAGGGCGGAGCUUCUAGGCGGCACUUCGAAUGGCCAAAGCUGUUUGCUCCAUCUUUGAGUACCUUGUUUCUACGUCAGUCAAUGCCCUGCUAACAUAAUAAAUAGGUUUUUGCUCCUUAUGCGAGGGGCAGUGGAAUAAAACAGCACUAAUUGCCCACUCUGAUACAGCCAGAUACAUAUACAAUUUUUCUCCAGGGAGGGGGCUGCUUAGAAUGGGUAGUUGUAUGAGGUAGUGCUUGAUUUUCUCGAAAACGCUCUGGCAGCUGUUCGUCUACCCGUUCGCAUCGGCUUUUCGUAUUGCCAAGAAGAAGAGUCGCAAUUCAUCAGUGAAGCGGGCUAUGAAACGCCCUAGUGCGACAAGCUUGCUUGUGAGGCGAUGUAAUUCAUUUUUGCUCCUAGGGGGUGGUGUUUCCAUGACUACCUUAACUUGAUCCCUCUUUGGCUGACCAUGAACCUUAGGAAUUUUCCAGCACUUACGCCGAAAGCGCAUUUGGACGGAUUCAGUUUCAUGUCAUACUUCCUUAAGAUGUGGAAGACUUCUUGUAAGUGAAAGGCAUGUUCACUUCGGGUUUUGCUCUUAACCACGAUAUCAUCGAUGUAUAUCUCCACUGUGCGGCCAACUAGAGGUUUGAAGAUCUUCGUCAUCAAUCUCUAAUAGGUGGCGCCAUCGUUUUUAAGUCCGAAUGGCAUGACUUUAUAACAAUAAAGCUCAUGCAGCGUUAUAAAGGCUGUCUUUUCUUCGUCGACCGGAGCUAUGGGGAUUUGGUGGUACCCGGAGAAGGCAUCCAAGAAGGAGAGCAUUCCCUAUCCGGCGGUGGAGUCUACGAUCUGGUCUAUCCGUGGUAGAGGGAAACUGUCUUUUGGGCAUGCGUUGUUGAGGUUGGUGUAAUCGACGCACACUCGCCAUUUGCCUUCUUUUUUGGGGACCACUACUACAUUUGCUAACCAGUCCGGAUACUCCACUUCUCUAAUAAAUCCGACCUCCAGCAAUUUGUCAAUCUCAUCCUGGAUAAUUUUUUGCCUGUCUGGGUGAAAAUGUCUAACCCUCUGUCGGACAAGUCUUGUUGUUGGCAAGACGUUAAGCCUAUGAGAGGUGAUUGAAGGGUGGUUCCCUUCAUGUCAAAAUGCGGCCAUGCAAAGACGUCAUGGCUUUGUCGGAGGGCGUCGUGGAUGUCUUGUGCUUCUUCGGGUGUCAAGAGGGAACUGAUAUGUGUGAGGUGAGUACUUUCUUCCGAUAUCUUGAUUGUCUGCAAGGGAUUCACUGCCGAGGGAUCUUUGUCCUCCGGAUUCAGUAAUUGUUAUUGGUCAAGUGCGCUGGUGGGUUCAGGGAGGGGCUCGUCGCCCUUGCUGAUCCCACCUUCUAGCACUAUCUGAUAGCACUGGCGGGCAGCCAACUGGCUACCGUAUAGAUUGGUUUGUCCAUCUUUAGUAAGAAAGCUCACCAUCUGAUGGUACGUGGAAGGGAUUGCUUUCAUAUAGUACAACCACGCGCGUCCUAAGAUGACGUUGAAGGGGGACAAAUCUCCUACCACUGAAAAUUGUACGUUAAGGGUGACUUGGACUGGCAGCACAAUGUCUCCAAGGGAGGUGGUUGCUACGCCAUUAAAUCCCAACAAGACCCACCCAGGAUUUUCUAAGUCGGAUAGUUCGAGACCCAUUUGAUUAACUACUGAUGCCUGCAAAAGAUCGAUCGAGCUUCCUGGGUUGAUUAGGAUCUAUCUUACAUCAAAGUCUCCCAUCACCAGAGAUAGGAUGAGGGCGUCACGGUGCGGUUGUAGUAUUCGCGUGGGAUCUACGGGAGGAAAAAUGAUUGUCCCAUCUACUGGCUGGGCACUUCCCUCAGUUGCUCCGGUCUAAAUGGUAUUGACGCGCUCGCGUACCGAUGUCGCCCGCAGCAACUUCUGCCUCUUUCUUUUGGAGUUGUACUCCUCAUCCAGAGGUCCUCCAUGAAUAUAAUUGAUGAUGGCUUUGGGGGAGAUUGGGGUCCUGAGGGACCCGGAAUCGCGAUUUCGGGGGGUAUCUCUACCUCUGGCAUCUGAGCAGAGGUAUUGCUUCAAAUGUCCCACUUUUAUGGGCCUUUCCACCAAAUACUGGAGACUCCUGCACGUCUUCAUAGUGUGACCAUGCUCCUUAUGGUAGGCACACUUCUGGCAAUGAUCUCUUUUGGCUGGGUCCGUUCUGAGGGGUCCGGGCCACCUGAAGCCGGACAGGUCCUGGAUCAUAGGGAGGAGUUUCUCAUAUGAUAUGGAAAGGGGUGUGAGUGGUGGCAGUUCUGGGCGACUGGGCUCUCCCUGCCUUCGUUCGGACGGCCUUGACCGGUCUAGAAGUUUGGAACUUCUUUCCGCACCGGUUCUGUAUGUCUGCCCAGCAACCAAAAUUUGUUGGGUGGCCGCACGCACGUCGUCUUCCAGCAUUGAGUAUUUGCUCGCGCGCCGGAACAGGUCAUCCAUUGUCGUGGGAGGCUUCUUAGCGAGCGACUUGAAGAAUGGAGUGCCUGGGCAUAUGCUUCGUUUGAAGAUCUGAAGGACAACAUCCAUGCUAUAAGCCUCUACUUGUAACACAGCUUGACCGAACCGUUUCACUAAUUCUCUCAAAGACUCAUUCUCCUGCAUUUUUAUGUUUUGCAGAGUGCUGAUGUUCUGUUUAUGCCGAGCGGAACACAAGUAUUGCCCCACAAAAGCUUCCGACAGGUCCCUGAAGUUAUCAACAGAGUUCGGGGGUAGUCGGUGAAACCAUGAGAGAGCCUGACCUUGUAGGCUGGUGGGGAAUACUUUGCAUAGCAACGCGUCGUUUCCUAUAUCGAGAGUCAUGAGUUGUCGAUAAUGCAUGAUAUGGUCGAAGGGAUCGCUGGACCCAUCAUACGUGGAAAAUUUUGGUACGAGAAAUCUCCUUGGGGAGUCGUAAUGAAUAAUAUGUGAGCAAAAAGGCAUGGAAAGCAUGUCAUCCAGCCUCUUGCUGAUGGAGCCAGUGGGUGGCUCAUUUGGAGAGUUUCUUCCAGCUUGUCGUACCGCUUGGUGCGGGAGGAUGUUCUACACAACGAGUGCGAUCAAAGGGUUAGGGUACGCUUCCCAAGUUGUGGCCACUGGUGGCCUUAUCUUCCCAGGCUCCUGUGGGCCUAGCCUUGCGCGCAUCGCGUCCGACAGUUGGGGUCUCUUGUCGCGUUGUCUCUUUGAUGAGAGAUGAGUAGAAUCUAAGCUUUCAUCCUGGGGAGCUUGGUGCAUGGGCGUGGGCCGUUCUUGAGGUUGAUUAUUGCACCUCAGGAAUGACCCCCGCAAUCCCAAGAUAUAUCGAUUCUGGAUCAGGCCUCGAAUUUGCUCCCUGGCCUCUUGAGCGCUGGCCAUGAGAAGGCCCCGUCGAUGAAGCCUGGAUGCGUAACACAGUGUUUUCUUCUCUCAAUCUCGUUGUUUCUUGGAGGAGAGCCUGCAUUUGUCGCUUACUCUCCAACUUUCGUCUUUCCAUGGCUUCACGCCAUUCGAAAUAACCUUCACCUCCUCUAGCCGACGAGUGGCUCCUAGAAGGUGUGGACAUCUUCGCCGUCGACUGAGCAAAGUGUUCCCACAGACGGCGCCAAUGUUGAUGCCUUGCGUCCCAAGGAUCCACGCAGCUGCCAAGUGGACGGCGCUUUCAACCAAGAAUGAAUUCUGGCUCAGUCGAUCCUACAAAAGAUGUCCGGACACACCCUUCGAUGGUUUUGUUAGCCAUGGCUCAAUGGAUCAGGCUGUUGCCCUUUUUUCUGAGUUAGUUGGCCUACCUUCUUCUUUGCGUGAAGGUUCUUUUAUAUAGUGUCAGAAGCUCUGCUCCCCUCUUUAAUGGCGGGAAGACUUUUUGGCUUGUCAUGAUGUCUCUGAGGUGAUGGCAGAAUCAUCAUCACCUCCCAGGAGGCUGUCAAAAAUCGUGGGAGGUGACUUGCCAUCACUCCUGUCCUUUCGCUCUGCAGACGAUGAAACAUGGGCUGUGAUUUUAGUUAUCUCCGUCGGUGAAGCUUGAGGAGGAAAAAACAAAACACAAGGUCAUUUCGAUACUCUACGUACUCUUUAGGCUUUACCUGGACAUUAAGAAGAUAAUCAAAGAUUCCAAAGCAGAAUAUGACGAGAGGGAGGUUUGUGGUUUGGUACGUAUUGUAGCUUCAGAUUUGGUCUGUCCCAUAGAGUAAAAGUGAUGGUCCCCAGUUUAAAGCAACGAGGUAAUUUUAUCAUUGAAUUUGCUAGAUUUAGAAGGAUUCAUCGUUUCAAUAUGAUGCCACUUAUUAAUUGUUUCCCGGUAUUCCAGACAUGCUCUUGCUUACAACUCCAAGACAAACGCAUCUCUUUAGAGGCACUGUCCUUGAGAAAUGGUGAUGUUCCUCCAAGCUGUGAGAAAAUCCAAGGGGUUUUUCCCGAGGAUUCUCAAUGUGUGGCCCCGUUGGGUUGAACUGUCCGGGUUAGAAGGUGGAGUGGACUGGGUUGGCUCAACCAUCUCGGAAUAUGGAUUCUGCGUCAAGGGUUCGGCUGCAUCAUGUUGGAGAUGGACUGAUUGGCCCAUGUUUUUGUAAGGGAGUCGAAUCUCAGAGACUGGGCCUAGAUUGAGAAAUUGCAACCAUGCAAUAAAGCCCGUGUGACGUGCUCUUGGAGAUCAAAACAUGAUCCGUAUAACAAACAACCUACUGCCGACCUACACCACAGAUCGUGGUGCUGGCCACCCGUACGGUCUAGAGACCACAUGUACAAGCUCAUGACGCUAUUCCUUCCUAUCACCAAUUUGGAAAUGGCCCACCUAAGAAACAUGUAGCCAUGAUCAAACGGGAAUCCCAUGAUGAGAAAUUGUAGAGAAGAGUUAAAAAUAAAAAAUAAAAAGAAGAAAAAAGAAAGGUCAAUACCACUCGAUCAGGUUCCAGAAAAGGGCAUGUGGAAUAAGAAAUUAAUGCACUGAACGCGAACCAUGGCAGUCCCUCUAUGACAACACCAGUUAAUAGUCGUGUUGUGUCCCCACCUUCUGGAAAUGCCAUCCCUCCCACCAAAUCUCGGUAAUCAAAAUAAAAUGGGUUAUUAUCUUCAACUGCUUGCGUGCCCAAAUCAAUCACGUUUCCGAUAAGCAGUAUAGUUAGUUCUCUCAUUAACAUUUCUUCAGGAUCAAGGAUAUUAUUGAUUUUCAUUGACUUGCUCCUAUUUUGCAUUGGUUGAUGGAGAUAAACACACACAUAUUAAUCCUGAUCUUAAAAAUUGGUAUUAAAUCUGUUCAAGGAACCUAGUCAAGGAAAGCAUAAUCUUGAUUGAAACCUUGCACGCACAGCAUUGUCCACUUGUGGUUUAGCCUGGAUGCUUCUGAAAGCAUCAUGAAUGGAUUCCGAGACUUGUGGUUUAUGCCUGCAUGUUUCUGAAAGCAUCGUGGAUAGGUUCCAAGACCUCAUCAUUACUAGUUUCCCACCCCAAAAUUCCAAGAAGCCACCAAAAUACUCCUUUGAAUGGCUGCACAGGAUUUACACACUAGAAGAAGCCAAAAAAAUGAGACCCUUGGCUGAAGCAUAAUUGGACCCUUGUAAGUCUUUUACUAGAAGAAGCCAAAAAAAUGGGACCCUUUGGCUGAAGCAUAAUUGGACCUUUGUAAGUCUCUUAAUAGAAGAAGCCAAAACAAUGGGACCCCUUGGCUGAAGCAUAAUUGGGACUCUUCAGGCACAUACGGCAUGUGCAAAUAUCUAGAUAUUUUAAUCCCAAGUAAAAUGAUGCUCCUUUUUUCGUAUUCUUUUGUUUGACGUAUGCAUCAGGAUCGGACCGCAUCUAUGUUAUUUUUUAUUCCAAAUUUCAAAUAAAGACGAGACUUCGCUACAAAAUUGUCAACGCCUUUGGGACCCAUAAACCUUUUCUCAAACAAUGAUUAAAGGCAAAUUUUUGUAUUGAUAUAAUGCAACUAGCCAACCAUAUGGGUGUAAGGAUGAGCAUGCAAUCCCAUCAAAAUGGCUUCUGGACCCACACUAUCUUAGUUCGUGGCAGUCAAAUCGCAAUAUAAUAGACGGGGAGUGUUAGAUUUUCUUAAUGAGGUCCAGAAGUCUUGUCCAUAAUCUUUAGGAAUAAUACUAGACUUUGUCAAAUGGGUCUAAAAAUCUAACCCAUAAUAUUUUGACAUUUCCGUCUAUGUAAUCAUGGUUAGGUCCCUAAUUCUUUAACCUCUAUUCACACACAUGUAUCAUCGUUUAAGAUUGAUUAAAAGUUUAAAAACAUCACAACUUAUUUCAAUAUCAAAUUUGAUUUUCGAAUUCCUGAACUAUCAACUAUAGAAAAUAUGUUUUGAUUCUUCAUUUAUUUUUAUAUUUAAUAUAUGUCAUUAAGGUUUUAAGCAUAUUUAGAUUGAUUUUAACACUUAUAAUUGGUAUUAAAACCAUUUUAUUGUCUCUACCUUAAUUAUGUGCAACCUAAAAAAAUUGAUUAUGUGCCUUAAUUAUUUUCUUUUAAUCCUUAUGGUAAAAAAAAUUUCUUACGAAUUUGGAAGAAAACUGUUUGUAUUAUGCUUUUGAAAGAUGAAGAAGUCAAGUUUUGGGCAUGAAAAAUGAGGGCUAUUAAUAUCCAAUCGAUCCCUACCUCCCCUUACAACUUUUACAGUGCAAUGGCCUAGCUAUACCCCUAUUGAUGGGAGCAAGUUGUAGAGUUAUGAUUGUAUGUUGUCCAUAUUAUAGAGAUUUUGAUAUAGUGGUUUAUAGUUUUGAAUCAUUCUUUACAACUUGUAACAAUUGUAUCAUUAUUCCUUUUAAGAGAAAAGGGGUAUAUAGUGGUUAAUAUGUCCUUGUCAACACCCUUUAAAAUCAAAUCCCACAUUUUCUUCAUAAAGUAAUAUAGAUUAGGUACGAACUUCCAGUUUUUAAAUCUGGAAAGCUAUCAAAAAUUAGACAUUUAUACCAAUAAAAAAUAUGAAAAUUUUCCAGAAAUUUAAAAUUUUGGAUAUUUUGUGAAAAUUUCAUAAAUUUGGUAUUUUUGUGAAAAAAAAAAAUCAUAUUUUUGGUGUUUUUAUGAAAAAUACAUAAAUUUGGCAUUUUAUGAAAACCAUUUUGUGGAAUUAAAAUUUGGAUAUUUAUGUGCUUAAAAUCAUGUCUUUUUUGUAUGUAUAAUUUAUUGUUUUCAUUAUAUAUGUAAUUUGAAUUUUUACUAUAUAAAUUUAAACAGUGUUCAUAUAUGUAAAUAUUGCUUAUGGUUGCAUGCAAUUUAUAUAAACAGUUUUGUGAAUAAAAUUAAAUAUCUAUUGAUCUAUAUAAUUUUAAUUAAUUAGGGAUUAGCCACAACAUCUUUAAUUAUGUAAAAUUAUAUAUUAAGUACUUUAGGAUCACAUAUAUAAAAAUGACAUUGAUUGUAAUUAAUCAUAUUUAAAUAUAAUAAAUUUUAUCCUUUAUCAUAUUUGUAUUAUUAAUAAUGAUAGAAUAUCAAAUUAUAUUCUUAAUUUACCUAUAGGAAUUAGGAAAGGAACAUAAUUGAUAGUUUUAUCAUAAAGUUAGAUGAAUCUAAUUGAAUUAGAACUUUAGUACACAUACAAGUUUUAUGUCACUACUUCAUAUUUUUGAAACAUGAUUUAUAUUGGUAAAACAUGAUAUAUAUUUAUUAACCUCAAAUUACUAUUAUAUAAGCAUGUAUGUUUAAUAUUUAUGCAGUUAUGCAAUCUGUGAAUUUUUCCGAUAUAAGAUGUGAUAUUCUUGAACUAAAGGGUGACAACUACAAAGUAUGAAAGGAAAGAAUUCUCUUUCAUUUGAGGUAGAUGGACAUUGAUUAUGUUAUUAGGAAAGACGAACCAAGCAUUACCACAACUAGCACUGUAGAUGAAAAGGCUCUUUAUAAAUGAUGGGUGUGAUCCAAUUGCCUUAGUGUGAUGUUCAUAAAAAACAAAAUCUCUACUGGUAUUCAAUGUUCAGUUGAUCAACAUGAUAAAGUUAAGGCAUUAUUAAAGGCUACUGAUGAACAAUUUCAAACUUCAGAUGAGACACUUGCCAGUACCUUGAUUAUGAAGUUUUCAUCCUUAAGGCUCACCAGUGUAAGAAGUGUAUGUGAACACAUCAUGCAAAUGAGGGACAUUGUAACUCAACUAAAAACUCUUGAGGUUGAAAUGUUUGAAUCUUUCCUUGUGCACUACAUACUGAACACUUUUCCACAACAACUUCUGACCAUGUGUGUUCAAGAGGUAUGGAGGUUGGUAAUGGAAAUUGGUGAGAAUGCAUUAUUCGCAAAACAAGGAAAUAACCAAAACCAAGCCAAAAAAAAAAAAAAAAAAGGAAAGGUAAAAUACUGCCCCAAUGAGAAAUAAAAAAAGAAUCCAAGUGCUUCAUCUGCAAAAAGAAAGGACACAUGAAGAAAAAUUGCUCCAAAUUUCAUAAAUGACUUGAGAAAAAAGGUAAACCAAUCUCAUUUGUUUGUUAUGAAUCUAAUAUGGUUGAUGUUAAGCAUGACACAUUGUGGAUUGAUUCUAGUUCUACAAUCCAUAUUUCAAAUACCUUGUAGGGUACACAAAACCUAAGGAAGCUAGUGGGAAGUGAGUAGUGCAUCUAUUCAAGAAACAAGAUGCAUUCAUAUGUAAAAGCUCUUGGAACAUGCACUUUAGUUUUAAGUAGUGGUUUUGUUCUAAAUUUGGAAAAGACAUUUUACAUUCCAAGUUUUUCUAAGAAUUUGAUUUCAGUUUCAAGACUUGUUCCUUUUGGUUAGUCCUUUUAACUUUUCAAAAACAUCAUUUAGUUUAUUUUAUAAAUCUAAUCUUGUUGGGAAUGGUACAUUGUCUAAUAGUCUUUUCUUUAUUAAUUUGCAAAAUGAUACUACUCAUAAUGUUAUGCAUCUUCACACUGGUGUUAAACGAUGUGUUAUGAAUGAAGAUUCCUUUAUGUUAUAGCACCGAAGAUCAAAACAUAUCUCAAUAGAAAGAAUUAAGAGAUUAGUAAAUUAUGGAGUAUUUAGUACUUUGGAUUUUACUGAUUUUGAUAUUUGUAUGAACUUCAAUAAGAGAAAAUAGAUCAACAAGUAAAAAAAAAUGUGCUAAAAGGAGCAUAGACAUAUUGAAGAUCAUACAUUCAGACAUUUGUAGUCUAGACAUGGACUCAUAUGGUCUAAAAUACUUCAUCUCUUUCAUAAACGAUUACUCAUGAUACAUGUAUCUCUACUUGCUUCAUAACAAGAAUGAAACAUUAAAUGUUGUCAAGUUUUUAAGGCCAAAUUAGAAAAUCAAUAUGGAAACAAAUUAAGAUAAUGAGAACAAAUAGAGAUGGAGAAUAUUAUGGUAAAUACACUAACGAUGGACAAACACCCGGUCCAUUUGUGAAGUUUCUUCAAGAGCAUGGGAUAGUUGCCCAAUAUACCAUGUAUGGUUCUCCAUACUAGAAUGGCAUAGCAGAAAAAAUAAACUGAAUGUUAUUGGACAUGAUACAGAGUAUGCUUAGUAGCUCCAAGCUUAUUAAAUCCUUGUAGACUGAAGCUUUUAAAAUGACAAUGUAUAUAUUGAACCGAGUCCCAACUAAUGUUGCCCUAAAAACGUCAUUUGAAUUAUGGAAAGAUUGGAAACCGAGUUUGCAACAUAUACGCAUUUGGGGAUGCCCAUUUGAAGUAAGAGUUUACCACCCACAAGAGAAUAAACUAGACCUAAGGACCAUUAGUGGAUUUUUCGUUGGAUAUGCAAAAAGGUCUAAAUGGUACAUAUUCUACUAUCCCACAACACUAGGAUUGUGUAAUCAAGAAAUGCAAAAUUCCUUGAGAAUGACUUGUUCAAUGAGAAUAUCAAACCUAAAGCAUAGUCUCUGAGAAAGAUCAAUCUUCCAUUUCAAGUGAAAGGUUGGUUAUUAUUCACAACACCUCUCAAGUUCAAAUGGGAGUUGAGCAACCAAUCGUUGAAGUUCCACAAGCUAUUGAGAAUAAUCCAAUAGAUUAAGUUGUUCAGGAAAUGCCAAAAAUUGUUGAACAACCAAUUGAACAACAUAAUCCUCAGGAAAAUUUUGAUUCAACAUUAAAGAGAUCUACUAGAGCAAGGAAAUUAGCAAUUCCUAGUGAUUAUGUUAUGUAUCUAAAAUAAUUGGAUUAUAACAUUUGAGCCGAAAAUGAUCUUGAAACAUUUUCACAAGCCAUUAGUUGCGAAAGAUCAAAUUUAUGGUACAAUGCCAUGAAGGAUGAGAUGAAUUCUAUGGCAUCUAACGAAGUCUAGAAUCUUGUUGAGUUGUCUGAUAGUGCAAAAGUCAUAGGAUGUAAAUAGGCUUUUAAGACAAAAAAAGACUCAUUGGACAAUAUUGAAAGAUAUAAAGCAAGACUUGUUGCUAAAAAAUUCACUUAAAAGGAAAUAAUCGACUAUAAGGAGUCCUUCUCUCCUAUAUCUAAGAAAGAUUAUUUUCGUAUUAGUAUGACAUUGGUUACACAUUUUGAUUUAGAGGUACAACAAAUGGAUGUGAAAAUGGCUUUCCUUAAUAAAGAUCUAAAGGAAGAAGUUUACAUAAAACAACCAAAAGAAAUUUCCUCUAGAGAUGGUGAGCAUUUGGUGUGCAAGCUCAAGAAAUCCAUAUAUGGAUUGAAACAAGUCUCCCGUUAGUGGUACUUGAAAUUCCAUGAUGUUCGUUAUCUCUUCGUGUGGGUCUGUAGAGAAUAGUAUAAAUCAAUGUAUAUACCAGAAAGUUAGUAAGAGUAAAAUAUGUUUACUUAUUCUAUAUGUGGAUGACAUUUUACUUGCAACUAAUGAUAAGGGUUUGCUACAUGAGGUAAAACAAUUUCUAUUUAAAAACUGACAUGAAAUAUUUGGGUGAUGCUUCUUAUGUCAUUGGCAUUAAGAUACAUAGAGAUAGAUUUUGAGAAAUUUUGGGUUUGUCUCAAAAAACCUAUAUCAACAAAGUUUUAGAGAGAUUUUGGAUAAAAUAUUGUUCACCAAGUAUAGCUCCUAUUGUGAAUGGUGACAGGUUCAAUUUGCACUAGUGCCCAAAAAAUGAUAUUGAAAUGAAACAAAUGAAGAACAUUUCAUAUGUUUCUGUUGUUGGAAACUUAAUGUAUGCUCAAGUCUACAUAAGACUUGACAUUACAUUUUUUGUUAGGAUGUUAAGAAAAUAUCAAAGUAAUUCAGGUACAAACCACUGAAGAGUUGCAAAAAAUGUGUUAAGGUGUUUUCAAGGGACGAAGGACUACGUACUUAUGUAUAAACGGACUAAUAAUCUGGAGGUGAUUAGCUACUCAAAUUCAAACUUUGUUGGUUGUGUUGAUUCACAAAAAUCAACUUCUAGAUUCAUUUUUAUGUUCGUUGGUGGAAUUGUAUCCUGGAGGAGUGCAAAGCAAACUUUGUCUACUACUUCCACUAUAGAGGCUGAGUUUAUAUCUUGUUUUGAGGUUACCUCGCAUGGUGUAUGGAGGAAAAGUUUCAUUUUUUAACUUAGAAUUAUAGAUUCAAUUUCUAAGCUAUUUAGGAUAUAUUGCAACAAUUUAUGUGUAGUUUUUAUGGCUAAAAACAAUAAAAGUGGUAGUCGAAGCAAACACAUCAACAUCAAGUAUUUAGUCAUAAGGGAACAUGUUAAGAAGAAAAUAAUGGUUAUUGAAUACAUCAGCACUGAGUUGAUGAUAGUUGAUCCUUUGACAAAAGGCAUGCCACCAUUGAAAUUCAAGAAUCAUGUGAAUAGAAUGGGACUUCAUUCCUUUAUAUGAUUUUCGUUGUAAUAAUGAAUGUUAUUUGUGAUGAAACUUUAUUAAUGUGAUAAUAUUUUCUCUUAUUUGUUUCUAAUUUGUAUACACAUUCAUUCAUUUGAGAAAUAUUACUAAUGUUUGGACCUGAAAUAAACCUUAGGCUUAUUCAUUAAGUAAUGAAGGCAAGUGUUUAAGAGACAUGAUGCAUUGUGAUACAUGGAAGAUAAUACUUGUUUCAGAGAAUCUAUUGUCAUGAUUUGUGUAUUUUGUUUCUUACUAUGGUGAAUGAUGGAAUAUAUAGACCAAGUGGGAUAAUAUUAGAUUUUCCUAAACAGAUCUAGAAAUCUGGCCUAUAAUCUUCCAUUAAUUUUGGGAAUAAUGCUAGACUUAAAUAGGUCUAGAAAUGCUGUCUCUAUUAUUCUAGAAUUUCUAUUGAUUUAGUUUUACAUUUUUAUUGUCAUUAACAACCAUAAAUAAAUUAUGGUAUUGACUCUGUGAUGGGCAGGGUAAAUAUAAAUAGAGCCUUCGUGGUUAGGUCUCUAAGCUUUUGACUUCGAUUUUUAUUCAAAUACAUAUACACUAUUGUUUAAAAUUGAUUAAGAGUUUAGAAGCACCUCAACCCAUUUGAAGAUCAAAUUUGAUUUCUAAAUUCUCAAAUUGAGGUAUGUUCCUCUUCUCCUUUAUUUCCGCAUUUGAUAUAGGCUACACUGGAAGGACCCAGUGUUGUCUCUAUAAUUGACUCUUAUUUCGUCGUCAUGUUUCCGCCUCAAAAAACCCCGAUUCCUUGUUUACACACUGCUACCAAAGGGGAUAGAUUCCUUGUUUACACACUGCUACCACAGGGGAGAGAGGAGGAGAGCUACCAACCAAACAAUGGAGGUUGAAGCUCAGCUGAGCAGCAACACGAGGAAGGCUCUGCUGGUUCUGAGUUGUGUGAUUCUCUCAAUUGGACACUGCGGUGGUCCCUUGGUGAUGCGCCUAUACUUCGUCCGUGGCGGCGAGAGGAUAUGGUUUUCCAGUUGGUUGGAAACGGCUGGGUGGCCCUUGAUCCUAGUCCCUCUCAUCAUCACUUACAUGCACCGCCGAACUAAGCAAGGCUCCCAUGCCAAGCUCUUCUUCAUGAAACCUCCUCUGUUCGUAGCCUCCGCUGUUAUCGGUGUCCUCACCGCCCUCGAUGACUACCUCUACGCUUAUGGCGUAGCAAAACUGCCCGUUUCAACAAUUGCUCUCAUCAUCGCAAGCCAGCUCGCUUUCACAGCAGCCUUCGCAUUCCUCUUAGUGAAACAAAAGUUCACCUCAUACUCCGUAAAUGCCAUAUUUCUCUUGAGUAUUGGUGCUGGUGUCUUGGCUCUACACACUAGCUCCGACCGCCCUGCUAAUGAGUCCAACAAAGAAUAUUACCUCGGGUUUUUCAUGACACUUGCAGCUGCAGCGCUCUAUGGUUUCAUUCUCCCCCUGGUUGAAUUAACAUACAAGAAAGCAAAGCAGGCAAUAACCUACUCACUGGUCAUGGAGAUUCAAAUGGUGAUGUGCUUCUUCGCCACCUUCUUUUGCACAGUGGGGAUGCUGGUUAAUAAUGACUUUCAGGUGUAUUCCUCUUUUCUAUCCACCCAGUUACCUUUAACACAUUCAACCAGAUAGAACCACCAAAAACAAAGAUUGAUAAUUUAUGUUUGCUUCUUCCUCAUUUAAUUUUGUAGGCAAUUCCCAGAGAGGCAAAAGAAUACGAGCUUGGAGAAGCUAAAUAUUAUCUGGUGGUGGUAUGGAAUGGGAUCAUGUGGCAGUGCUUCUACUUAGGAGCAAUAGGAGUCAUCUUUUGCGCUUCAUCUUUGGUAGCCGGUAUUGUGCUUGCUGUCCUACUCCCCGUGACUGAGAUCUUGGCUGUUAUUUUCUUCCACGACAAAUUUCAAGCAGAGAAGGGGGUUUCACUUGCUCUCUCUCUUUGGGGUUUUGUUUCAUACUUCUACGGCGAGAUAAAGGAUAGCAAGAAAAAGAAGAAUCCCACUCCGGAGACGGAGCUGCCUCAAACAGUCAAUCCAUGAUAAACAAAUGUCUUUCUUUUCCCCACAGAAGAGGGGGGACAGGAUUCGCAUAUAAGCAUUUACUAGGGAAUUUAAAGAAACACUUCAUCUGUAUGUUACAGGCAGUUCAUAACCAAGACUAAAGUGGGUUUCUUUCCAGUUUUGAGAUGAAGGAAUUCCAAUAAAAUAUGGACUGUAAGGUCAAGGCGUGCUAAAUGUGAAGUCGAUACAGAGUGGGAAAAUAUGACAUAUUUUGAGACUUAAUAGUCAUAUCCAAUUUCUAUUAUCUAUAAUAUUAUAUAGUAUUAUAAAAUAAUCUCUCUCAUCCUUGGAUAUGGUUAAACUAUGUUAAAAUUUGAGUAUUCUGUUUAUGGUUGGUUUUAUCUCUGUAUGUUCUUAUUACAGCUUCCACUUAACACAUCAACUUAGUAUUAAAACCUUGGUUGAAUAUUUUUUAGAAGAACCAAAGAUAAUAGAAGAUUGUGGUCCAUGAAAAAAACCCUAACACACACUAUCAAUGUACAAUAGUGUAUACCAUAAAUAAAUAAAAAAGAAGAAAUAUUCACUUAAACGAAAUUUUUAACAGUAGAAAUGGUUGAAAAAUGCUUCCAAUUCCUAAAGAAUAUUUUAAAUAUUGAUUGGGAACUUGCAACAUUUCCCAAUAUUAGAAUCAAUAAGGAAACGGUCUUACUGAGAAAGAAUUGAAGUCAUCGUCAUCCAGGCAAGAUGAUGGGCCAUUAAGGUUAGGUUGGGAUCAAGAGAAGCUGGAUAUGGAUUGUUUUGUUAAUCCAGUAUAACUUAAAAGCUUAAUUAAGUUAUGUAAUAGUGGACCAACAGUGCACUUUGCACUGAUUUGGGUUACAUGUUAGGGUCGUAGCCCAAGUAGGUUGAUAUAUGAUGGUGGACCAACAACUGCAUGCGAAUGAAUGGCUAUGUGAAUUUCCUAAGACUCGGUUCAUUUCAACUUCUACUGAUUGCAUCGAAACUUUCGGGAAGAAUUGGCGUAUGGAUCUUCCCUAAAUGGGUGUUGACGCCGCCAAAAUAGGCACCUCCAAAUACAUGGCCUUAAGCCACCUACAGCAUAGCCGCCCAAGACGCAAGCAUCUGUAGCUAUCCAAAACGAGCUCGGCUAAAAAUAAGUGCCUGCAUAUGAGAUAUGACUCACAUCCAGGACUGGCAGGUUGACCGAACUGACCCUCAAAAGAAGGCCUCACCAACUCUUAAACAUUAUCGGAACAGGCUGGCAGGCUUUAACACAUGCCCUAACCAUAUAAACGUAAAAAAAAAAAAAAAGAAAAAAAAAAAGAAGAAGAUCAUAAUAAGACAAAAAGGGGAGAAAGAAAUUCUCUCGUCUACAGGUGUCGAAGCUUCAUUCAACACAGAGUUGUAAGAUUACCAAUGUUGGGUGCAGACCUAUCCUUUCUAGUUAUCUCCGCCGGUGAAGCUUGAGGAGGAAAAACAAACCACAAGGUCAUUUCGAUACUCUACUCUUUAGGCUUUACCUGGACACUAAGAAGAUAAUCAAAGAUUACAAAGCAGAAUAUGAGGAGGGAGGUUUGUGGUUUGGUACGUAUUGUAGCUUCAGAUUUGGUCUGUCCCAUAGAGUAAAAGUGAUGGUCCCCAGUUCAAAGCAACGAGGUAAGAGUUUUAUCACUGAAUUUGCUGGAUUUAGAAGGAUUCAUCGUUUCAAUAUGACGCCACUUAUUUAUUGUUUCGGGGUAUUCCAGGCAUGCUCUUGCUUACAAUUCCAAGACAAACGCAUCUCUUUAGAGGCACUGUCCUUGAGAAAUGGUAAAGUUCCUCCAAGCUGUGAGAAAAUCCAAGGGGUUUUUCCCGAGGAUUCUCCAUGUAUGGCCCCGUUGGGUUGAACCGUACGGGUUAGAAGGUGGAGUGGACUGAGUUGGCUCAACCAUCUUGGAAUAUGGAUUCAGCGUCAAGGAUUCGGCUGCACCAUGUUGGAGAUGGACUGACUGGCCCAUGUGUUCUGUAAGGGAGUCCAAUGGGCACCCAUGCAAUAAAAGCCCGUGUGACGUGCUCUUGGAGAUCAAAACAUGAUCCGUACAAUACAACUUACUGCCGACCUACGCCACAGGUCGUGGCGCUGGCACCCGUAGGGUCUAGAGACCACAUAUUCAAACUGAUAAUUACAGUAUUCAUUCCUGUCACCAAUUUCGAAAUGGCCCACCCAAGAAACAUGUGGAGCUUUCACCCAAAAUAUUGCGUUUUAAAAAAAAAUUUCAAAAAAUAAAGUUGUUUUAAAAAUAAUGUACGAUGUAAUAAAUAUAUACCACAUAAGCUGUCAUGGCAUAAAACUGUAGUUGAUGACUACGGUUUUAUUUUUUUAAAAUGGUUAGAAACCGUAGUUACCAACCACGGUUUUAACUUUAAGUUUAAAGCCGUAGUUGGUGACUACGGCUUUGACAUUUUUUUAAAAUGGUCAAAGUCAUAGUUACCAACUACGAUUUUAACUUUAUAUAUAUUUAUAUAUAACUUUAAUUUUUUUAAUAAAAAUAUUAUAUUAUUUUGAUUUUAAAUAUACUUAUUUCAUUAUUUUAAAAAUAAUAAUAUAUGAAAUUAAAUAAAUGAUAUUUUUAAUUUGAUAUAAAUAUAUUUUUAAAUUUUAUUAAAAUAAUAUAUUCUAUAUUUAAUAUAAAUAUAUUUAUUUAAUUAUAUUUAAAUAUAAAUAAAAUAUAAUAAAUUAUGAAAGCCUAUUAAAAAACAAAUAAUAUAAAUUAUUAUAUUAAUUAAUAAUUUUUUAUAUACUAUAUGUAAGUGGUAUAUAAUGUCACAUGUAUAUAAGUUCAAUUAAGUUUAAAAUUUAUCAUAUUUUAAUUUAAGUUCAUAAUAUUAUAUCGAUAUGAUAAUAAUUUAUUUAUAUAUUUAAAUAAAUAUGCUAAAUUUUAAACUUAAAUUAAAAUUAUAUAUAUAUAUAUAUAUGUGUGUGUGAUAUUAUAUACUAUUUACAUAUAAUAUAUAAAAAAAUUAUUAAUUAAUAUAAUAAUUCAUAUUAUUUUUUUCUCCAAAUAGGCAUUUAUAAUUUAUUUAUUUUAAAUAAACAUAAUUUAUUAUAUUUCAUUUAUAUUUAAUUUUAAUUAAAUAAUUAUAUUUAUAUUAAAUAUAGUGUCAAUUGUUUUAAUAAAAUUUAUUUAUAUAUUUAAAAAUAAUGUGAUAAAUUUUAAACUUAAAUUAAACUUUUAUAUAUAUAUAUAUAUAUAUAUAUAUAUAUAUGUGUGUGAGAGAGAGAGGUAUUAUAUACCACUUAUAUAUAAUAUAUAAAAAAAUUAUUAAUUAAUAUAAUAAUUUAUAUUACUUUUUUAUUUUUCUAAAUAGGUAUUUAUAAUUUAUUUAUUUUAAAUAAAUAUAAUUUAUUAUAUUUUAUUUUAAUUAAUUAAUUAUAUUUAUAUUAAAUAUAGUGCCUAUUGUUUUAAUAAAAUUUAAAAUAUAUUUUUAUAUCAAAUUAAAAAUAUCAAUUAUUUAAUUUCGUAUAUUAUUAUUUUUAAAAUAAUAAAAUAAGUAUAUUUAAAAUCAAAGUAAUAUAAUAUUUUUAUUAAAAAAAUUAAAAUUAUAUAUAAAUAUAUAUAAAGUUAAAACCGCAGUUGGUGACUACGGUUUUGACCAUUUUUAAAAAAAAAAAUCAAAGUCGUAGUCACUAACUACGACUUUAAACUUAAAGUUAAAACCGUGGUUGGUAACUACGGUUUCUAACCACUUAAAAAAAUAAAACCGUAGUCACCAACUACAGUUUUAUGACAUGGCAGUUUAUGUAGCACAGACGCAUUAGAUCGGUCAUUAUUUUCAAAGCAAUUUUAUUUUUUGGAAUUUUUUUUUAAAACACACUAUUUUGGGUCAAAGCUCAAUGGCCAUCAAACGGGGAAUCACGUGAUGAGAAAUUGAAGAGAAGAAUUAAAAACAAAAAAUAAAUAAAAAGAAGAAAAGGAAAGGUCAAUACCCCUCAAUCAGUUUCAAGAAAAGGGCAUGUGUUAUGAGCAAUGCACUGAAACGCGAACCAUUUCAGCCCUCCAAAGGACAACACAAGUUAAUAGCCCGUGUGGUCCCAACCUUCUGGAAAUACGAUUCCUCCCACCAAAUCUUGGUAAUCAAAAUAAAAUGGGUUAUCAUCUUCAACUGCUUUGCAUGCCUAAUGAACAUUGUUUUCGAUUACCAGUAUAGUUAGUUCUCUCAUUAACAUUUCUUCAGGAUCAAGGAUAUUGUUUUCAUUGACUUGCUCCUAUUUUGCAUUUGUUGAUGGAGAUACACAACGCACACACAUUAAUCCUAAUCUUAAAAAAUGGUAUUAAAUCUGUUCAAGGAAGCUAAGCAGGAAGAGCAUAAAACCUUGCAUUCACAGCAUUGUCGAUUUGUGAUUUAGCCCGGAUGCUUCUGAAAGCAUUAUGGAUAGGUUCGAAGCCCUCAGAAAUUAGACUAAUGCCAUGUUUACGUCAUCAUUACUAGCUUUCACACCAAAAUUCCAAAAAGAUAAACGCUAUGGUAUUAGUUUAAUGUUUAUCUCAUUGCCACCACACUAGUCAUCUAGAAGGUUUUACUGCUUUGAAUGGCUGCACAGGGUUUACACAAUAGAAGUAAAAAAAUGGGGCCUCUUCGCUGAAGCAUAAUUGGACUCUUGUGAGUCUAACCAUUAAUCUGGAACUGGAAAGCUGCCCUCUUUUAUUUAACUCCUAUAAUGAAGAUAAUGAUCCGAGACAUCAAUGUUUUCAACGAAAACUGGAUCGCUACACUUGGAUGUCCAGCAAAUUUUCAAUUUAAAUAAUGUACAAGACAAUCAAGGAGGUGAAAAAAAUUGAUGAAGCGAAUCAACAGUUUCUGAUACCAAUUUCAGGCACAUACGGCAUGUGCAAAUAUCUAGAUAUUUUAAUCCCAAAUAAAAUAAUGGUUCCUUUUUUCGUUUUCUUUUGUUUGACGUAUGCAUCAGGAACGGAACAUAUCUUAUAUUAUUUUGAUUCCAAAUUUCAAAUGAAGACGAGAUUCCAUAACUGAAUUGUCAACACGACCUUUGGGACUGAUGAACCUUAUUCAAACAAUGAUGAAAGGCAAAUUUUUGUAUUGAUAUAAUACAACUAGCCAACUGUAUGGGUGUAAGGAUCAAGGAAGACUAGGAAAUUUCGAAGGAUGAGACUACAACCCCAUCAGAAUGCCUUCUGGACCCACACUAUUUUAGUUCGUGGCAGUCAAAUCGCAAUAUAAUAGACGUAGGGAAGGACCCAAUGUUAUCACUAUAAUUGACUCUUAUUUCGUCGUCAUGCACCGCCUCAAAAAACCCGAAUUCCUCUUGGCACUGCGACUUCAAGGGAGAAGGAGAAGGAGUAGGAGAGGGGAGAGGGGAGAGGGGAGAGGGAGGGAGAGCUACCAACCGAACAGUGGAGAUGGAAGCUCAGCUGAGCAGCAACAUGAGGAAGGCUCUGCUGGUUCUGAAUUGUGUCAUUCUCUCAAUUGGAAACUGCGGUGGUCCCAUGGUGAUGCGCCUGUAUUUCGUCCGUGGCGGCGAGAGAAUAUGGUUUUCCAGUUGGUUGGAAACGGCUGGGUGGCCCUUGAUCCUAGUCCCUCUCAUCAUCACUUACAUCCACCGCCGAACCAAGCAAGGCUCCCAUGCCAAGCUCUUCUUCAUGAAACCUCCUCUGUUCGUGGCCUCCGCUGUUAUCGGUGUCCUCACCGGCUUCGAUGACUACCUCUACGCCUAUGGCGUAGCAAAACUGCCCGUUUCAACAUCUGCUCUCAUUAUCGCAAGCCAGCUCGCUUUCACAGCAGCCUUCGCGUUCCUCUUGGUGAAACAAAAGUUCACCUCAUACUCCGUAAAUGCCAUAUUUCUGUUGAGUAUCGGUGCCGGUGUCUUGGCUUUACACACUAGCUCCGACCGCCCUGCUAAUGAGUCCAACAAAGAAUAUUAC
RNAcentral lists this long non-coding RNA (31077 nucleotides) under Vitis vinifera (wine grape). RNAcentral describes it as "long non-coding RNA (VVIN_LNC005948)". Lineage: Eukaryota; Viridiplantae; Streptophyta; Magnoliopsida; Vitales; Vitaceae. The record is from RNAcentral.